Molecule: ribosomal RNA, 827 nt
Filed under: uncultured bacterium
Lineage: Bacteria
Description: bacterial SSU rRNA
Rfam family: Bacterial small subunit ribosomal RNA
Source: RNAcentral
AGUCGAACGGCAGCACGGGAGCAAUCCUGGUGGCGAGUGGCGAACGGGUGAGUAAUAUAUCGGAACGUGCCCAGUCGUGGGGGAUAACGCAGCGAAAGCUGUGCUAAUACCGCAUACGAUCUAAGGAUGAAAGCGGGGGAUCGCAAGACCUCGCGCGAUUGGAGCGGCCGAUAUCAGAUUAGGUUGUUGGUGGGGUAAAAGCCCACCAAGCCGACGAUCUGUAGCUGGUCUGAGAGGACGACCAGCCACACUGGAACUGAGACACGGUCCAGACUCCUACGGGAGGCAGCAGUGGGGAAUUUUGGACAAUGGGCGCAAGCCUGAUCCAGCAAUGCCGCGUGCAGGAUGAAGGCCUUCGGGUUGUAAACUGCUUUUGUACGGAACGAAACGGUCUACUAUAAUACAGUGGGCUAAUGACGGUACCGUAAGAAUAAGCACCGGCUAACUACGUGCCAGCAGCCGCGGUAAUACGUAGGGUGCGAGCGUUAAUCGGAAUUACUGGGCGUAAAGCGUGCGCAGGCGGUUAUAUAAGACAGAUGUGAAAUCCCCGGGCUCAACCUGGGACCUGCAUUUGUGACUGUAUAGCUAGAGUGCGGCAGAGGGGGAUGGAAUUCCGCGUGUAGCAGUGAAAUGCGUAGAUAUGCGGAGGAACACCGAUGGCGAAAGCAAUCCCCUGGGCCUGCACUGACGCUCAUGCACGAAAGCGUGGGGAGCAAACAGGAUUAGAUACCCUGGUAGUCCACGCCCUAAACGAUGUCAACUGGUUGUUGGGUCUUCACUGACUCAGUAACGAAGCUACGCGUGAAGUUGACCGCCUGGGGAGUACG